AGCGCUUCAAGAGUUUCCAGUCCUAUGCAACGAUUUCGAGCAAUAUGGCGUGCGAGAAACGUCAUUCGCGUCAUUGUUUACUUUUUGCAUUCUACCUUAGAAAAUUGGUUUUAAAAUAGUUUGUGCGCAACACUGGAAGAAACUUAUGGAACGUGCAAAAAAUCGUAGCAAAGAUUUAAAACCGAAAAUUUUAAUUUGGAAAAUGAUCGUUCAGGUGCACCGAAAAAGUUAGACGAGUUUUAAUCCUUCGAAGAGAAGAUACGAGCGAAAAUAUAUUCGUAUGUAUAAUAAAUAUACGUAGUUUUUUCGUGCAAAAACUUUUACCAACAGGAUGUGUGCUAGGAUCAAAAAUGACAAAUAUCCCACUAGAAUGAAAAUAAGAAAAUAUAUAAAAUAUAAAAAAUAUAUAAAAAAGUUGUACAAUAAAAAAUAUGAAAUGAUUUUUAUCCAUCGGGAAAAACAGAGAUCAAAUGUAUUGUUCAAAUUCGUUGCAAGAAAUAAAAGAAAGGAUUAAUAGCACGUUCGUUGAAAGCAAGAUAAAGAUGGAAUUCGUUAAGCUUGCAACAACAUUUUGAAAUGGAAACAAACUUCUUUUCAAUAAUAUAACAAUCCGUAGAUAAUAAUAACAUUCUUUUCUUAUCGUAUCUUAUCUUUUCAUUUUAUUUUCUUAUUGCUCAGAACAGAUGCAGUUUCAUCGUUUAACCCUUUACACACGAAUGGUGUCUCUCGGUCAUCACUUGGAUUCGAAUAGCUUCUCCAAGCUCUUUAUGUACAAUCAUACGAAGCGUAGAGUAAUAUAAUGUUGAGAGGUAAAUUUUCUUAUUUUAAAUUGGAUCGCGGAUCGAAUUACAUUUUCCACGUUGGUCCGAGUUUGACGGUAAGUGAUAAUAGGAAUAUCAUUUUCAAUUGUUUUUUGAACAAGGCGAGUUUCAUUUUUUAUAUAAGAAAUAAAAAUAAUUAAACGGUGAACAUUAAGAAGGAUUAUUAUAUAGGUUAAUGAUAAAUCGAAGACGCAUCUUGCCCGGUCGCUUCAUGCGAUAUAUAUAGAGUUUAAUACUCGACAAACUUUUCUUCUCUAUGCGUAGAUACGUUAAUUACGCGCAUGCGCGAAAUCGUUUUGAGGUUAGUUGUAAGAAAUUCAUCGAAACGUGUGGAACAAUUGUCUCGAGAGUUAAUAUAAUAUAUGACGGGGACAAGAAUUUCCAAUCGCGUCUUCGAAACAACGGAAAAGAAGAGUAAGAAAAGUACAAAAUAAAAGCUCAAAGAAGCCCUCGAUAAUUACGAUCAAAGACAGUGUAGUAAUAACCAGCUAUCUCUAGGGAAAAAAGAAGUGGCAGCAAUUCGUUUCCAAAAACCAAGGAAUAACCGUAACGGUAAAUCGAAGAGACGGAUUAGAAGAAGCGGCACAAAAGGGACGAAGAUUUCGUUUAGUUUCUCUCCUCGAAUCGAGAUCCCUGGCGGCGAUUUGGCGGAAGCGGAUCAACCAGCAGUUUUCUUUUCGAGCUCUCGUUUCAUCCGGUCGUUCAACCGGCCGACCGAGAUUGAGGACGGGGGAAGAGCCAUUUGCGUGAUCGGUUCGCUCGAGAUAACGAGGGGAAACGGUCAUGCAAAUGCGAUCGAAAUGGAAACUCGGCCGAAACACAGCCGCUUUAUCGCGACUUUAAUUCGGCCGUAAUUGGUACACGCCGCGCGAUGAUGGGCAACCGGUUAGUCGAUUCAUCGACUGGAAAUCGCGAUGGAAUCAUUACCGAAUUCUCCCGCUGGUGGCGGGACUUAUCGCGAGGUUGUUCUCGAUGUUGCGCAAUUAUCGGUGGAAGGGAUGAAACGGAUGGAUGGAAGUUGGAUCCUGGAAAUUCAUAUCGGAAAAUGUUUUUAUUAUCUGUGAAAGGUUUAUGGAUAUAUAUUUGUUACGUUAUAUUAUCUUGAAUGAAAGAUAGUAUCCAUCGUUUUCUUCCAAUGAAAAAGGUGAAAAUCGAUCGAUGAAGGAGAAUUUCAUAACCUUCAAAAGUUUUUAAAUACAAGAUUUUCAAAGACACGAAUGGAAGAAUAGCAAAGCAAUUCGAACGUUGAAUGAACGCAAAUCUAUUACCAAACCUUUUCUCAUCGUGCAUCUCUGACUUUCUCUAUUAACCUUUUGGCUCACAGAAAUCCAUCGUCUUAUAACAAGUGUACUUAAAUUACGAGGAUUUAAAGUUUUAAAAUAAUAUAUUGGAAUACUAGUAAUACUUUAAAUACAAACUUUCCAAAGAUAUCAAUCGAAGAAUAGCAAAGUAUCUCGAAUGAACGCAAAUCCAUUACCAAACCUUUUCUCGCUGUGUAUUUCUAACUUUCUCUAUUAAUUCUCGCUCACAGAAAUCCAUCGUCUUAUAACAAGUGAACUUAAAUCGAGGAUUUAAAGUUUUAAAAUAAUAUAUUGAAAUACUAGUAAUAAUUUGUAAGUAAUUGUAGCAAAAUAAAAUCGAUGAGGAAGAAUUUCAUAACCUCAAAAAUAAUA
Apis mellifera (honey bee) is the source of this 2494-nucleotide long non-coding RNA. RefSeq lists it as uncharacterized. The transcript is spliced from 4 exons. NCBI's taxonomy places the organism in Eukaryota, Metazoa, Arthropoda, Insecta, Hymenoptera, Apidae. The record is from RefSeq and is a predicted model, not a curated record.